This 2067-nucleotide ribosomal RNA is filed under the name Triticum aestivum (bread wheat). RNAcentral's name for it is "partial small subunit ribosomal RNA". Lineage: Eukaryota; Viridiplantae; Streptophyta; Magnoliopsida; Poales; Poaceae. The record is from RNAcentral.
AUGAAGGAGGUGGGCGAGGAGAGGUGCCUGGACCCGCAGCUGUGGCACGCCUGCGCGGGCGGCAUGGUGCAGAUGCCGCCGGCGCGCUCGCGCGUCUACUACUUCCCCCAGGGGCACGCCGAGCACGCCAACGGCGGCGGCGGAAGCGCGGCCGCCGAGCUCGCGGCGGCGGUCGGGCCGCGUCCGCUGCCCGCGCUCGUGCUCUGCUGCGUGGCAGGGGUGCGCUUCCUGGCUGAUCCGGAGACGGACGAGGUGUUCGCCAAGAUCCGGCUGGUGCCCGUCGGCCCCGGCGAGGCGGGGUUCCGGGAGCCGGAGGGGCUCGGGGGCGACCCGGCGGAGGCGCGCGACAAGCUGGCCUCCUUCGCCAAGACGCUGACGCAGUCCGACGCCAACAACGGCGGCGGCUUCUCGGUGCCGCGCUACUGCGCGGAGACCAUCUUCCCCAAGCUUGACUACAGGGCUGACCCGCCGGUGCAGACGGUGCUCGCCAAGGACGUGCACGGGGAGGUGUGGAAGUUCCGCCACAUCUACCGGGGCACGCCGCGCCGGCAUUUGCUCACCACGGGCUGGAGCACCUUCGUGAACCAGAAGAAGCUCGUCGCGGGGGACUCCAUCGUCUUCCUGCGCACCGAGCACGGGGAGCUCUGCGUCGGGAUACGCCGGGCCAAGCGGGUCACCUGCGGGGGCAUGGAGUGCAUAUCCGGCUGGAACGCGCCAGGGUAUGGGGGGUUCUCGGCCUUCCUCAAGGACGAGGAGAACAAGAUGAUGAACGGUGGCCCCGCCGGUUACGUCAAAGGCAGGGGGAAGGUGAAGAUCGCCGAUGUCGCGGAGGCGGCCACCCUUGCGGCCAACAGCCAGCCAUUUGAGGUGGUGUACUACCCGAGAGCUAGCACGCCGGAGUUUGUUGUCAAGGCCGCCGCUAUGCAGGCUGCCAUGAGGAUCCACUGGUGCCCUGGCAUGAGGUUCAAGAUGGCCUUUGAGACCGAGGAUUCCUCAAGAAUUAGCUGGUUUAUGGGGACGAUUUCUUCGGUUCAGGUUGCCGAUCCACUCAGAUGGCCGAAUUCACCAUGGAGACUUCUUCAGGUCACAUGGGAUGAGCCAGACUUGUUACAGAAUGUGAAAUGCGUGAGCCCAUGGCUUGUGGAACUUGUAUCGAGCAUUCCACCAAUCCAUUUGGGACCAUUUUCUCCACCACGAAAGAAGUUACGGGUUCCCCAACAUCCUGAUUUUCCAUUGGAUGGUCAUCUGUUUAAUCCAAUUUUCCAUGGGAACCCACUUGGUCCUAGCAACAGCCCCCUAUGCUGUUACUCGGACAACAACUCUCCUGCAGGCAUACAGGGAGCCAGGCAUGCUCAAUUUGGUUUACCAUUAACAGACCAUCAGCUUAAUAAGCUGCACCUUGGUUUGUUCCAUGGCGGCGGUUUUAACCGGCUGGACGCUCUAACCCCGUCUUCCCGGAUACCUAAGGGCUUUGUGCUCAGCAGCGCACCAGCCCACGACAGCGUCUCUUGCUUGUUGACAAUCGGUACACCACAGAGCACAGAAAAAUCUGUUGACAGAAAGACCCCACAUAUAAUGUUGUUUGGAAAGGCCAUUCUUACCGAGCAGCAGAUGACUUCAAGUGGUUCAAGGGAGACACUCUCCUCCGGGGCUACUGGAAAUAGUUCACCUAUCAGUACUGGGCUGAAGGCAGGAAAUGCGUCUGAUGGUUCUGGUUCAUCAAUCUGCAUUGGAUUCUCAUCCCAGGGUCAUGAGGCUUCUGACCUUGGAUUGGAAGCUGGGCACUGCAAGGUAUUUAUGGAAUCGGAGGAUGUUGGUCGCACCAUCGACUUGUCUGUCUUUGGGUCAUACGACGAGUUGUAUGGCCGUCUGGCUGACAUGUUUGGGAUCGAGAAGGAAGAAAUCAUAAGCCAUCUUCGUUACCGUGACACAGCUGGUGCCGUCAUGCACACUGGGGGAUUACCAUUCAGCGACUUCAUGAAAGUGGCACGGAGGCUGACGAUAAUAAGUGGCGAAAAGGGAGGGCUGGCGAAACCUCUCAUCGAAUGCAUGGUUCAGCGGGUGUGA